Molecule: ribosomal RNA, 481 nt
Filed under: uncultured bacterium
Lineage: Bacteria
Description: bacterial SSU rRNA
Rfam family: Bacterial small subunit ribosomal RNA
Source: RNAcentral
AGAGUUUGAUUCUGGCUCAGAACGAACGCUGGCGGCAGGCUUAACACAUGCAAGUUGAGCGGGAUUCAUUGUAGCUUGCUAUGAAUGAUGAGAGCAGCGCACUGGUGAGUAACACGUGGGAACAUGCCUUUUGUGGGGGACAACAGUUGGAAACGACUGCUAAUACCGCAUACGCCCUGAGGGGGAAAGAUUAAUUGCCGAAAGAUUGGCCCGCGGAAGAUUAGGUAGUAGGUGGGGUAACGGCCUACCUAGCCGACGAUCUAUAGCUGGUCUGAGAGGACGAUCAGCCACAUUGGAACUGAGACACGGUCCAGACUCCUACGGGAGGCAGCAGUGAGGAAUAUUGGGCAAUGGAGGGAACUCUGACCCAGCCAAUGCCGCGUGAGUGAAGAAGGUUUUCGGAUUGUAAAGCUCUUUCAGAUGGGAAGAUGAUGACGGUACCAUCAGAAGAAGCACCGGCUAACUUCGUGCCAGCCGCUGC